Molecule: ribosomal RNA, 486 nt
Filed under: uncultured bacterium
Lineage: Bacteria
Description: bacterial SSU rRNA
Rfam family: Bacterial small subunit ribosomal RNA
Source: RNAcentral
AGAGUUUGAUCCUGGCUCAGAAUCAACGCUGGCGGCGUGCCUAACACAUGCAAGUCGAACGCGAAAGCCCCGCAAGGGGUAAGUAGAGUGGCAAACGGGUGAGUAACACGUGGGUGACCUGCCUUCGAGUGGGGGAUAACGUCCCGAAAGGGACGCUAAUACCGCAUAACAUCCUGCUCUUGGACGAGUGGAGAUCAAAGCCGGGGAUCGCAAGACCUGGCACUUGAAGAGGGGCCCGCGCCUGAUUAGCUAGUUGGUGGGGUAAUGGCCUACCAAGGCUACGAUCAGUAUCCGGCCUGAGAGGGCGGACGGACACACUGGGACUGAGACACGGCCCAGACUCCUACGGGAGGCAGCAGUGGGGAAUUGUUCGCAAUGGCGCAAGCCUGACGACGCAACGCCGCGUGGAGGAUGAAGAUCUUCGGGUCGUAAACUCCUGUCGAGCGGGAAGAAACUCACGAGGGUGAAUAAUCCUCGUGGCUGACG